GACGAACGCUGGCGGCGUGCCUAAUACAUGCAAGUUGAGCGAUGAAGAUUGGUUCUUGCACCAUUUUGAAGAGCCGCGCACGGGUGAGUAACGCGUGUGGCAUCUGCCUUUGAUUGGGGGACAUCAUUUGGAAACGAAUGCUAAUCCCGCAUAACAACUUUAAACAUAAGUUUUAAGUUUGAAAUUUGCCAUUUCAUCAUUCACUGAUGAUCCCGCGUUGUAUUAGCUAGUUGGUGAGGUAAAGGCUCACUAAGGCGAGGAUACAUAGCCGCACUGAGAGGGUGAGCAGCCACAUUGGGACGGAGACAGGGCACAAACGCCUACGGGAGGCAGCAGUAGGGAAUCUUGGGCAAGGGACGAAAGUCUGACCGAGCAACGCGGAGGGAGUGAAGAAGGUUGUCGGAUCGGAAAACACUGUUGGUAGAGAAGAACGUGGGUGAGAGUGGAAAGCACAGCAAGUGACGGUAACUGCCCAGAAAGGAACGGCUAACUACGUG
This 497-nucleotide ribosomal RNA is filed under the name uncultured bacterium. Its description in RNAcentral is "partial 16S ribosomal RNA". It matches the Rfam family "Bacterial small subunit ribosomal RNA", at positions 28 to 507 of the family's 1533-position model. The record is from RNAcentral.